UGGGGAAUAUUGCACAAUGGGCGAAAGCCUGAUGCAGCAACGCCGCGUGCGGGAAGAAGGCCCUAGGGUUGUAAACCGCUUUCAGCAGGGAAGAAAAUGACGGUACCUGCAGAAGAAGGUGCGGCCAACUACGUGCCAGCAGCCGCGGUGACACGUAGGCACCAAGCGUUGUCCGGAUUUAUUGGGCGUAAAGAGCUCGUAGGCGGUUCAGUAAGUCGGGUGUGAAAACUCCGGGCUCAACCCAGAGACGCCACCCGAUACUGCUGUGACUUGAGUACGGUAGGGGAGUGGGGAAUUCCUGGUGUAGCGGUGAAAUGCGCAGAUAUCAGGAGGAACACCAGUGGCGAAGGCGCCACUCUGGGCCGUAACUGACGCUGAGGAGCGAAAGCGUGGGGAGCAAACAGGAUUAGAUACCCCCGUAGUCCCUGAGCGGGCUGGCAAGGCGCAU
RNAcentral lists this ribosomal RNA (448 nucleotides) under uncultured bacterium. Its description in RNAcentral is "bacterial SSU rRNA". It matches the Rfam family "Bacterial small subunit ribosomal RNA", at positions 355 to 825 of the family's 1533-position model. The record is from RNAcentral.